Molecule: ribosomal RNA, 398 nt
Filed under: uncultured beta proteobacterium
Lineage: Bacteria; Pseudomonadati; Pseudomonadota; Betaproteobacteria
Description: bacterial SSU rRNA
Rfam family: Bacterial small subunit ribosomal RNA
Source: RNAcentral
UGCAUCGGAACGUAUCCUGUAAUGGGGGAUAACGUAGCGAAAGUUACGCUAAUACCGCAUACGCUCGAGAGAGGAAAGUGGGGGAUCGCAAGACCUCACGUUAUAGGAGCGGCCGAUGUCCGAUUAGCUAGUUGGUGGGGUAAAGGCCUACCAAGGCGACGAUCGGUAGCUGGUCUGAGAGGAUGAUCAGCCACACUGGGACUGAGACACGGCCCAGGCUCCUACGGGAGGCAGCAGUGGGGAAUUUUGGACAAUGGGCGAAAGCCUGAUCCAGCCAUGCCGCGUGCGGGAAGAAGGCCUUCGGGUUGUAAACCGCUUUAGUCCGGGAAAAAGGGGUGCGAGGAUAAUACCCUCGUGCUUUGAUGGUACUGGAAGAAUAAGCACCGGCUAACUACGUG